UUACAUCAGCAGUCAUCUCUGUGGUAAAGUGUGGCUAGCACCACCUGCCAGGUGCUCAUUUGGACAUCCACCAAAACCUAGUGGCUAAUACACGCAUGACCUGGUCUGCCAUGUGGACAUCUGCUGGCAACUCUGCUGUCACAUGAUGUGUGGUGGAUUGCACCCAGCCGCUGUGAAGACCAGCGCCUGAAAAUGGCAGUGACCCAUGGUUGACUCAGGCUGGUCCCUCUGUGGACAAUGGCUCUGGCAGAGUGGGGCUUAUCAGCCCACAUCACUUGCUUGACCACACGAACUUCUGACCUAUCAGCUUUGACUGUGGUGUCGUGGACCACAGUGGCAGCUACGGGUAACGGAGAAUCAGGGUUCGAUUCCGGAGAGGGAGCCUGAGAAACGGCUACCACUACCAAGGUGGGCAGCAGGCGCGCAAAUUGCCCAAUGCUAACACAUUUUGGCGAGGCAGCAACGAACUGCAGCAAUUCUGCCUGUCCUCUGAGACCAGCAGAACUUGGAAUGGAUGCUAUCCAAACACAGUGAUGAGAAUCAACUGGAGGGCAAGUCUGGUGCCAGCAGCUGCGGUAAUUCCAGCUCCAAGUGCGUAUACUGACAUUGCUGCUGUUAAAACACUUGUAGUCUGCCGCUGAGUGCAAGUCUGACAGGUGGCCAGCUGUUGCUUGUGGUCCUAGGCUCUCAGCCAAAGGGCUGCCUGUGACAGUUGGAUCUCAACCCCUGCCAGUAUGUCUUGCUCUCGACCAAGAUGGUGAGUUCACUCCUGCUCCAAGCCUCCUUCAGUGGAGGCCCAGGCGGCCUUGUGCCAAACGCAUAUGUGGGCUGUGUGAGGUGCACCUCCCUGUGAGUCAUGCCUCAGCCCGCCACAGGAGUUCACUGUCUCAGCUACCCUGGACAACUCAGUGUGCUCAAAGCAUCCUCCAUUGGCUGGAUGUCUCUCCAUGGAACAGCAAAGCAUCGACCAAUUGGGCCUCACAGUUGUGCUGGCCUUGGUGCUCAAUCUGGAGAAUGUGUCAUGGCUCCUGGCUGCUGGCUCCACAGUGCCCCUGUGGCUUCUGUGUCCACUGCCAGUGGGUUAUGGCUGUCGUCCAAGAUGGGAUUGCUCAGGGUGCAAGAUAUGGCAACGCCAGAGGUGAAAUUCUUAGACCGCUGCCAGAUCAACUGCAGCGAAGGCGUUGUGCAGCUGCCUGUCCGUCGAUCAAGAAUGAGAGCGUGGGGAGCAAAGAUGAUCAGACACCGUCGUAGUCCACAGCUGUAAACUAUGCCAGCUUGGUGCUGACUGGGCAAGUCCACGGACCCUGCCAGCGCCAUGCCCCCUGCAACGAGAAAUCCAAGCCUUUGGGUUCAGGGGGAAGUACUGUCGCAAGGCUGAAACUUAAAGGAAUUGACGGAAUGGCACCACAAGGUGUGGAGUAUGCGGCUUAAUUUGACUCAACACGGGGAAUGUUACCAGGUCAGGACGUUGCUUGGAUGGACAGAUUGAGAGCUCUUUCUUGAUCCCUUGGAUGGUGGUGCAUGGCCGCUCCUGAUUGGUGGAGUGAUUUGUCUGGUUGAUUCCGAUAACGAGUGAGACAUCUGCCUCCCAAUAGCCUCAGCCUCGCAUCUGUAGGGCUGGCUUGGCUGUCCCCUGGCGGCUUGCUGCUUGUGGGUCACCAUUGGCUGCCUGAGAGGAUUGAGUUCAGCUUCUCUGAGGUGCUGUGUGCGCCACCAAGCACACGCAUGCUAGAGCCAACAGCAGGUCUGUGAUGCUCCCAGAUGUCCUGGGCCGCACGCGCACUACAUUGACACAGUGAACGUGUUCUUGCUCACUUCCCUGAGCCCCUCCUGGAAGUUGGAGGGAAACCAUGUGAGCCUGUGCUGUACUGGGGAUAGAUGAUUGCAACUGUCUGCCUUGAACGAGGAAUACCUAGUAUGCGCAGGUCAUCAGCCUGCACAGAUUGUGUCCCUGCCAUUUGUACACACCNGCCCCGGUCGA
This 1981-nucleotide ribosomal RNA is filed under the name Discoplastis gasterosteus. Its description in RNAcentral is "SSU rRNA". It matches the Rfam family "Eukaryotic small subunit ribosomal RNA", at positions 101 to 1679 of the family's 1831-position model. The record is from RNAcentral. Lineage: Eukaryota; Euglenozoa; Euglenophyceae; Euglenales; Phacaceae.